Molecule: ribosomal RNA, 292 nt
Filed under: uncultured bacterium
Lineage: Bacteria
Description: partial 16S ribosomal RNA
Rfam family: Bacterial small subunit ribosomal RNA
Source: RNAcentral
GUGCCAGCAGCCGCGGUAAUACGGGGGGGGCAAGCGUUGUUCGGAAUUACUGGGCGUAAAGGGCGCGUAGGCGGCCUGCUAAGUCGGACGUGAAAUCCCUCGGCUCAACCGGGGAACUGCGUCCGAUACUGGUGGGCUCGAAUCCGGGAGAGGGAUGUGGAAUUCCAGGUGUAGCGGUGAAAUGCGUAGAUAUCUGGAGGAACACCGGUGGCGAAGGCGGCAUCCUGGACCGGUAUUGACGCUGAUGCGCGAAAGCCAGGGGAGCAAACGGGAUUAGAAACCCGGGUAGUCC